Onychomys torridus (southern grasshopper mouse) is the source of this 105-nucleotide small nuclear RNA. The record is from RefSeq and is a predicted model, not a curated record. NCBI's taxonomy places the organism in Eukaryota, Metazoa, Chordata, Mammalia, Rodentia, Cricetidae.
GUUCUCUUCAGCAGCACACACACUAAAACUGGAACAAUACAGUGAAGAUUAGCAUGGCCCCUGCGCAAAGAUAUCACCCAAAUUCAUGAAAUGUCCCGUAUUUUU